UUCUUAUCUCGAGAGGUGGAGGGACUGGCCCUAUGAAAUCUCAGCAACCAGCCUGAAGGUCAGGUGCUAAUUCCAGACAGAUAAGAA
This 87-nucleotide non-coding RNA is filed under the name Schinkia azotoformans LMG 9581. RNAcentral describes it as "Bacillus azotoformans LMG 9581 SAM riboswitch aptamer (S box leader)". It matches the Rfam family "SAM riboswitch aptamer (S box leader)". Rfam says of the family: The SAM riboswitch is found upstream of a number of genes which code for proteins involved in methionine or cysteine biosynthesis in Gram-positive bacteria. The SAM riboswitch acts at the level of transcription termination control. The predicted structure consists of a complex stem-loop region followed by a single stem loop terminator region. Lineage: Bacteria; Bacillati; Bacillota; Bacilli; Caryophanales; Bacillaceae. The record is from Rfam by way of RNAcentral.